CCUACGGGAGGCAGCAGUGAGGAAUUUUCCGCAAUGGGCGAAAGCCUGACGGAGCAAUGCCGCGUGGAGGAGGAAGGCCUGUGGGUCGUAAACUCCUUUUCUCAGAGAAGAAGUUCUGACGGUAUCUGAGGAAUAAGCAUCGGCUAACUCUGUGCCAGCAGCCGCGGUAAUACAGGGGAUGCAAGCGUUAUCCGGAAUUAUUGGGCGUAAAGCGUCCUGAGGUGGCUUACCCAGUCGACUGUGAAAGCUCAAGGCUUAACCUUGAAACGGCAGUCGAAACUUGUAAGCUUGAGUACGGUAGGGGCAGAGGGAAUUCCCGGAGGAGAGGUGAAAUUCGUAGAUAUCGGGAGGAAGGCCAAAGGCGAAAGCACUCUGCUGGGCCGAUUACUGACACUGACAGACGAAAGCUAGGGGAGCGAAAGGGAUUAGAUACCCCUGUAGUCCUAGCCGUAAACGAUGGAUACUAAGUGUUGCGCGACUCAAAACGUGCAGUGCUGCAGCUAACGCGGUAAGUAUCCCGCCUGGGGAGUAUGCCGCAGGGUGAACUCAAAGGAAUUGACGG
RNAcentral lists this ribosomal RNA (562 nucleotides) under uncultured bacterium. Its description in RNAcentral is "bacterial SSU rRNA". It matches the Rfam family "Bacterial small subunit ribosomal RNA", at positions 338 to 916 of the family's 1533-position model. The record is from RNAcentral.